GUUAAAACUCUAGUUCCCGUAUCAUCACUGAAGUUAAACAAUGUCAAGCCUGGUCAGUACCUAGAUCAGUGACAACUUGGGAAUACCAGGUGCUGUAAG
Non-coding RNA from Acanthosepion pharaonis, 99 nucleotides. The record is from the annotation of a GenBank genome assembly. NCBI's taxonomy places the organism in Eukaryota, Metazoa, Mollusca, Cephalopoda, Sepiida, Sepiidae.